This 479-nucleotide ribosomal RNA is filed under the name Poromera fordii. Its description in RNAcentral is "partial 16S ribosomal RNA". It matches the Rfam family "Archaeal large subunit ribosomal RNA", at positions 2000 to 2677 of the family's 2987-position model. The record is from RNAcentral. Lineage: Eukaryota; Metazoa; Chordata; Lepidosauria; Squamata; Lacertidae.
UUAAACGGCCGCGGUAUCCUAACCGUGCAAAGGUAGCAUAAUCACUUGUCCCUUAAAUAGGGACUAGUAUGAAUGGUUAAAUGAGGACUUAACUGUCUCUUUUGUUAGACCAAUGAAACUGAUCCUUUAGUCAAAAAGCUAAAAUAAAACCGUAAGACGAGAAGACCCUGUGGAGCUUAUAAACCAAAUUCAAAGAAAUGACUCUUUUGGUUUUGAGUUGGGGCGACUUCGGAGCAUAAAAAACCCUCCGACAAUUAACCUUUAUUAAGAUCAACACAUCAAAAUAUCUCUCAGACCCGAACUAAAUUAUAAAAGUUCGAUUAAUGAACCAAGUUACCCCAGGGAUAACAGCGCCAUCCCCUUCUAGAGUCCUUAUCGACAAGGGGGUUUACGACCUCGAUGUUGGAUUAGGACAUCCUUAUAGUGCACCCGCUAUAAAAGGUUCGUUUGUUCAACGAUUAAAGUCCCACGUGAUCUGA